GCGAACGCUGGCGGCAGGCCUAACCCCUGCAAGUCGAACGCACCUUUCGGGGUUAGUGGCGGACGGGUGAGUAACACGUGGGAACGUGCCUUUAGGUUCGGAAUAACUCAGGGAAACUUGUGCUAAUACCGAAUGUGCCCUUCGGGGGAAAGAUUAAUCGCCUUUAGAGCGGCCCGCGUCUGAUUAGCUAGUUGGUUGAGGUAAUGGCUCACCAAGGCGACGAUCAGUAGCUGGUCUGAGAGGAUGAUCAGCCACAUUGGGACUGAGACACGGCCCAAACUCCUACGGGAGGCAGCAGUGGGGAAUCUUGCGCAAUGGGCGAAAGCCUGACGCAGCCAUGCCGCGUGAAUGAUGAAGGUCUUAGGAUUGUAAAAUUCUUUCACCGGGGACGAUAAUGGCGGUACCCGGAGAAGAAGCCCCGGCUAACUUCGUG
RNAcentral lists this ribosomal RNA (433 nucleotides) under uncultured bacterium. RNAcentral describes it as "partial 16S ribosomal RNA". It matches the Rfam family "Bacterial small subunit ribosomal RNA", at positions 29 to 507 of the family's 1533-position model. The record is from RNAcentral.